GGGUUGUGAGGUUAAGCGACUAAGCGUACACGGUGGAUGCCCUGGCAGUCAGAGGCGAUGAAGGACGUGCUAAUCUGCGAAAAGCGACGGCGAGGUGAUAUGAACCCCUGACCCGU
This 116-nucleotide ribosomal RNA is filed under the name Enterobacter cloacae. RNAcentral's name for it is "partial 23S ribosomal RNA". It matches the Rfam family "Bacterial large subunit ribosomal RNA", at positions 1 to 107 of the family's 2925-position model. Lineage: Bacteria; Pseudomonadati; Pseudomonadota; Gammaproteobacteria; Enterobacterales; Enterobacteriaceae. The record is from RNAcentral.